UUUAAUUUUCAAAAACCGUUUUCUUUUAGUUUAUUUUAUUUUGUCACUUUAUUUAAUUAUUUUCUAUUAAAUUCGUUUUUAUUAUUUAAAUCACAAAAUCACAUUUUUCUCAAACUUUGUUUUAAAUAAUUAAUUAAGAUUUGAUUUAACAUAAAUUAUUCAUUUAAUCCCUGAAGAGAACGACCUUACUAGAAUCAUCUAUACUACAAUUACCUUGUACUCUUUCAAGUAUUUAAAGUAUUUUAUCCUUAUUUUUACUGGUGGUAAAAAUCCCUAUCAUUUCCCUAUCCACAUGACUUUUCUUUUGGAGGAAAGAAAAGUUAUAUAACAACGUCCGAAAAUAAAAUGACAUUUGAUUAGUUCCAAAAUUGUUUAUAACUUUAGCUAUUAACGGAUACACAAUGUAUAAUUAUUGAAUUACAACUGGACAAGUGCAUAUAGACAGUGCAUUUCAUAUCAACUCACUCGUGCCUAUGAUUUACAAAUUAUAAAUUAACUAGACUACAAAGAAAGACCUGCAGCUGCGUAAAUGUAAUGUCACGCUUCAAUGAACAAUUGAACAUAAUGUCACAAAGCACAAUACCUACGCUACGACAAUGGCUCUCUCUCUCUCUCUCUCUCUCUCUCUCUCUCUCUCUCU
RNAcentral lists this long non-coding RNA (640 nucleotides) under Malus domestica (apple). RNAcentral describes it as "long non-coding RNA (MDOM_LNC001216)". The record is from RNAcentral. Lineage: Eukaryota; Viridiplantae; Streptophyta; Magnoliopsida; Rosales; Rosaceae.